RNAcentral lists this long non-coding RNA (3212 nucleotides) under Sorghum bicolor (sorghum). RNAcentral's name for it is "long non-coding RNA (SBIC_LNC008976)". Lineage: Eukaryota; Viridiplantae; Streptophyta; Magnoliopsida; Poales; Poaceae. The record is from RNAcentral.
GGCAUGCUCAGAUCGAAGGAGAAAAGUUCAAUCCCAGAUGUAUCAACUAUAUAUGCAAGAAACUAUGAUCUAGGCUGACUCGACAACUCCCAAUGUGCCCACAGUAAUCUGUAUAAUAUUUAUAAAAUAAUAAAUUUACACGGCUAAGCAACAGAACCUUCAUUUUGAUUUAAUAAUCAGUAAAUAGACCAAAUAAUCAGGGUGCAGAAACUGAAACAUAACAUCUACAUCCAGAAUUAUUUGCUGUGAUGACAGAGAGUCUGCAAGUGUCUUUCAAGUCUCAGCAGCUCUGUAACAAGUUGAUUUAUGUCAUUUAUGAGAUCUGUAAUGAAAUCAACAGAACAUAGGAAGAUCACUGCAGUCUGUAUGUUAGAGUAAAUAGGAAUAAUACCAUAUUGUAUACUCACAUAAGGUGUUACCUAUGUACCCUAUAUAAUCAACCCAUGAGGCCCAAUGCAAUAUAUAAAAUAUUCCACCAAUUAUAUUUUCCUUCAUGAUAUCAUUCGCCUAGGUUUAGAUUCUAACCCUAGCCGCCGCCGCUUCCGCACUGCGCGCCCCCGGUGAGAGGUCGAUCUCCGCCGGGGACAGCGCCCCUCUUUAGGCGCCCGAUCCUAUUGAUCCGGCUGCCAUCGUCGUCGCACCGGGAUCUCCCCUACGUCAUCGCCAAGUUGCCGCCGCUGCCUUGUCCCCGGGCCCGUCGCCGGCUGUCGCCAUCAACACCUGAUCUUCAUCGCAUGGAGGCGGAUGGAUCUCGCCCCGUCCCGUGCCGCCGUGGUGGCGGCCAGGGCCGGCCACACGCCUCGACCCUGCGCUGCCAAGGAGGCAGCCAGAUCUGGCGUGUCGCUAUUGCUGAGCGGAUCUUCCCAUCUCCACCUCGUCGAUCUGCGUUGGCGCCUUUGACCCCGUGUGUUCGUGACCCGCCGUGCGCCUUGCACCGCCCGAUCGGGACGCACCGCUGCCGUCGUGUCGUCUUGCUGGGUACACCCGAUCUGCUGCUGCUGCUGUAUUUUUUUGGUUUGCCUUAUCACUGAUUGGGAUUGAGUCGCCCACCGCCCGUCGACCUCGCGCGUUCUACUACGCCAUCGGCAUCGACUUCAUCGACACCGUCUCCGAGUACUACGUGCACCUUCUCCGAGCAACAGGGCUGCUGUUGUGUCGCGUCAUCGGGCCACAACAUCGUUGUCCGUGUGUACGCUUCGUCGUUGCAUCUCCAUCGCCGUCAUCUGUGCAUCGAUGACUGUGCUGCGCAAUCCCUGCUGCGUCAUCCGUCUGCAUAAGGUCUUCGUCCUGCUGAUUGGGUCUUCGUCAUCGAGCUGCCACUACCCACGUCGUCGCUGAGACCUGCUCGCCGACGCGUCUUCUCCCGCAUUGCUUCUUCUUCGUCCAACACAACCACACGGAUGGGGCCCUCUCCCUUGUACGCUUGGUAUUGGCAACACUGACGCGUGCUUUCGUCCCCGACGCGUUGCUGGAUCUAGCAAAUCUAGCUACGCCUCGGCGCUCAGGCGACUUGACUGCAUUGACUUCGGCAUCGACCCUCCCGUUCCUACCCCGUCUGCCUCGAUUAUGUCGUCGCCCUUCUUCUACGACGGUCCUGAUUGCAUCGACUUCGGCAUCGCCCCCUCCCACGACGACUGCCUCGACGUGUCUCCGUCAUUACCAUGGCGCCCCUUGUGUGCGUGCAGCUCCAUCGACACGCAACCCGAUCAGAACUACGUCGACCUCGGCCAUCUUCAGCACGACUUCUUCAACCACGGCUACUGCAUCCUUACGCUCGGCUACCUCGACAUCGGCACAAAGGGCUACCGCCUUGCAUGAGGACUCAUCGGCUCCUUCUUCAGCCACAGCAUACGCAGCGCAUCGACUGUUAUGACUGCGGGGGAUGUUACUUAUUAGCUUCUUCUCUAGUCUUACCGUCUGUAACGCUCCCACUGUGACUGCGGGGGAUGUUAGAGUAAAUAGGAAUAGUACCCUAUUGUGUACCCACAUAAGGUGUUAUCUAUUUACCCUAUAUAAUCAACCCAUGAGGCCCAAUACAAUAUAUAAAAUAUUCCACCAAUUAUAUUUUCCUUCACCGUAGACAGUAACUUUUUUAAAAACAAAUCAGUCUUGACAGUUUCAGGCUUCCAGCAUGUGGCAAGAUUAGUAAUAAUCAGAGGAGGUUACCUGUCUGCCAAUUCUGGCAAUGAGGCCGAUGACCACCAGCCAAGCACAGCACCAAUAUGCCAACGGAACCCAGACUGGACCAGCUAAAUGAGAGCUCAGAAAUAGAGAGAACCGGUGGUCUGCUCUAAAAAAGAAGAACUGUGUCAGUAUUCAGUUGCAAACAUAUGUGAUGAGAAACAAACAGAAAAGCCUUCCUUGGAAAAGAAGUGAAUUAUAAAGGUGCAAAUCAUGCUACGCGCUUGCUAAUAGCAGCUUAUUGGAGUAUGCCAUCUAUUCACAUUCUUUAUGUCCAAUGGAUUCAGAUUAUAGGAAGGUAAUCCCAUUAUUUUCAUACUAUCGUCAAUUAGCUGAAAGUAAUUCGAUAGAAAUUACAAGAGUAAAUUUUUGAUCUCUAGUUGCAAAUUCUAAGGUUUGCCACUCUGCAGUGCAUCACAAUUCAUACUCUGCAACUAUACCGAUGUAAAGCAUCUACAAGAAUAUUAUGGAUAAUAUUUUGUUUCGGACACUGUAAAAAUCGAUGUCCAGCUCAGGAGUGCAACAAAUCAUACUUCGAUGAGCACUGCGGCCUAAGUACAAUCACAACAACCUAUACUGCAGCUACAAAAUGGCAGAACACAGGUACUAUGUCAUUAUAAAAGAUUAAGGAAUUUGAACAGAGAGACAAUAACACAAACACAUUACGGAUAUGCAAUAAUACAACCUCCUUGCCCCACAAUACACCAGACAAGCAAAAGCAUAAGAAGAGUAGCAGCUGUAUUACCUCGUACCAUCUUUCCUACAAAAUCGAUGCUUUCCCUAAUGAAUUGAUGUCUUUUUUUUUAAGGAGGCAAAGCCUCUGCUUUUAAGAAAGCAAGUAAUGAAUUGAUGUCUCACCCAAACUAACAAAAAUAUAGUCGAAAUUCAGCUUGCCUACCAAAAGUUAACACCACCCCCUAUGGGAUCAAGCACGUCAUGCCCCACAUCAACAUCCUCAUCGUUUGAAUCACGCGUUUGCUUCCGGAUUCGAGCUCGUUUCUUGCUGACUGGUAGAAGGAAGGGCUAGAAAU